CAUUUUUUUCGAGGACUUUUCCAGGCCCAUUUAUUUGAAUUCCAUGACUUGUCCAGGAUUUCCAUGACCGUAUGAACCCUGAGAUACAGUGAGGCGACAGAUUGUUAUUCAGUGACAUCAUACAGAGGAAGUAGCAGCGUAUCGUUGGCCCGCUCGGCUGCACAACAGCUCAAACUGUGACAUGAUGAGCGGCUCACAGCGGAGGAGGAGUAACACACUGACACACUGCAGUCGGCCGACUGUGCAGAGGAGCCACCCCGAAACCCAUAUUAAUUCCACCCCUUCAACCUUUGCCGUGAGAUCCCUUUCUCGGGCCCUCCUCUCUCCGCGGGCCCGCACCGCUGAAGGAACGAUGACGUGUGAAAGAAAGGCGUGAAGAAAGAGAGGAGCCGUUCCCCCUCAUCUGUUCUCCCAGAUGCCGCGGUUCUCCGCAGUGUUUCAGUUUAACCCCUCCAUCCUUCUUCUUCAACCCUAAUUACGCCCACACGCACAUCUUUGACAAAUCCCCACCGGGGGCAGAGCACCGGCCACAGAGGCUCAUACUGGGCUCGAUGGGAGGCAGCCGACGGGGUUAAUGGCACACACACACACACACACACACACAACGGCUCUCAUUAGCAGUCUCGCACCGAUAGUGUGGAGAUGAAAAGAUGCUUCACCCCUGUGUGCGCGUGCGUGUGUGUGUGUGUGUGUGUGAGAGCCUCGACACGCACAGCGGCGCUUGUGGCAUUGUUUUAACUCUCAUGGUGGAGGGGAGAGGGCAUUCACACCCAGACUUGUGUGUCCUUUAGAACAGUCUGCGUCAUUCAUAAAAGCAUGUGUGUGAAUGGUUAUAUUAUUGCUAUUAACCAAUCUACAUAUUUCCCCAUUAUCUUUAUGAUUUGACAUUUGCAUAUCUCGUCUGUGGGGUGAAUAGAGGUUGUCGGGUUACAACUAUUUUCUUUAGCCGUUAAUCUUAAUGGUUAAUUUCUCGCAAAAAUAAUCUUUAUGGUGUAUGACUUGCAAAAGAAAUCCCAAUUUCUUAAAGCCCAAAGAGACAUUUUUUAAAUGUCCAAACAUAAUCCUUUUAUAAUCGCCUAAUAUAAGGUAAAACAGCACAUCCUGACAGUUGAGAAGCUAAAUUAGCUGAAAGUAUUACACAGAUGAUGAAUCAUCAAAAUAGUUGGUGCUUAAUUUCACUAAUUGGUAGUUGACUAAUGGGUUCAGCUCAAUAGAGUUCCUCUCAAACUCCGAGUAGCCUAUUACCCAAAAAUAGACAAUCUGGGUAACUGGAGUCAUCUUAUUUCAAACCCGUCUGAAGCACUGGUUCCCAGCGUAACCUUUGCACGUUAAAAAUGUUUUCAUUCAGAUUCGGUAAAAAAAAUAAAGUGUUCAGGGGGGAAAUAAAACGGAGAUGGGACUAAAUGCUGACGUGAGGCAGCUCUUUACUGUUGCUAUGGUAACAACGACUGGUUAACCACGAAACAGUUCCUUCGGAUUAAACACAUUACAUACAAUAGUUUGUAAUUGUUUCACACGUAUAUAAUAUGUACAUAUAAUAUGUAUAUAUACACAUAGAAAUAGUUCAAUCAUGAUUUAAUUAUUUAAAUUGCUCAUCCACAAAUCCCACUCUUAAAAACAAGCUCCUGAUUGACUGCAGUCGUAGUUCCUGCAGCUUUGAGAGACAUUUGUCCUUUGCUGAAAGUCUAAAACUACCCGUUAUGAUGAGGAGACCCCUAAAGACGUCCUCCCACCAACGAGAGAGCGUUAUAACACCUUUACACAUGUGCUGUGACCGCGAGUCCCAGAAAACUAGUUCGCAAGUUCGCAGAGAGGACGAAGCAGGUCGUUAGAGGUGAUGGACGAACGGAUGAAGCGUCCGGCUACUGCCACUCCGAGCCCUCCGGCGUGAAAGAAAGAAUAUCGUAACCGUCUCCCCUGGACGUAUUUAUUAGUUUCAAAUAACUUCCUGUUUGUCAUCCAUUCAGACGAACACAUUGGAAGAUGUGAGGUGGUGUUGAUGGAGGGAUGCUUGAGCUCUUCUGAUGAUGAGGCAGAUGCAUAAAAGAGGUUGGAAAACACUGACGGAGGACAGGGUUUGCCCUCUUGAACAUAUUUCUUUCCUCACUUUUUUUCUUCUUUCUUCUCCUUGGAGAAUUAGUGGAGGAGUGCUAAAAGCCUCGGCGGUGUUGACGGGUUGCACUUCCACUGCGGUGGAGAGGAGACUUCUAUAAUAACCGGCUGGUGGAGGUGCUUUUUAAGAUGUGGUCCGGAUGCUUUGCAUUGAGUGUUAUGGUUUGAAUGUGUUAAGUCAUGUGUGUGUGUGACAUGCAUGUAUUAUAAAUAUGUGUAAAGUG
Long non-coding RNA from Pseudoliparis swirei, 2336 nucleotides. RefSeq lists it as uncharacterized. The record is from RefSeq and is a predicted model, not a curated record. NCBI's taxonomy places the organism in Eukaryota, Metazoa, Chordata, Actinopteri, Perciformes, Liparidae. The transcript is spliced from 2 exons.